CUCGUAGGCGGCCAACUAAGUCAGACGUGAAAUCCCCAGGCUUAACCUGGGAACUGCGUCUGAUACUGGAUGGCUUGAGAUUGGGAGAGGGAUGCGGAAUUCCAGGUGUAGCGGUGAAAUGCGUAGAUAUCUGGAGGAACACCGGUGGCGAAGGCGACAUCCUGGACCAACACUGACGCUGAGGAGCGAAAGCCAGGGGAGCAAACG
Molecule: ribosomal RNA, 207 nt
Filed under: uncultured bacterium
Lineage: Bacteria
Description: partial 16S ribosomal RNA
Rfam family: Bacterial small subunit ribosomal RNA
Source: RNAcentral